CACUGGGAUAGAGAAGCAGGAACAGCACCGAAGGUCCAAAAUUUUGAAAUAAGGCUCAGUUAGCAACAAAUAAAGUGGAAGUGUUAAAAAACCUCUUUCAUAUUUAAAAGAUAUUCCAUUUGUAUCCAUCUCAUUGCAAUGAAGCUAGGAGCUAGCCAUGAAGAAAGCAUGUUUUCAAAAUUCAACACUAAUGUUCCGUCUCAUAGCAACACCGGCCGCUAGCCAUGGAAAAAGAAUGUUUUCAAAACUAAACACUAAUUUUCAGAACAGCAUCAUAGCCUACAGUUGGCAAAAUGGCCUCACCUGC
This 307-nucleotide unclassified non-coding RNA is filed under the name Hevea brasiliensis (rubber tree). The record is from RNAcentral. Lineage: Eukaryota; Viridiplantae; Streptophyta; Magnoliopsida; Malpighiales; Euphorbiaceae.